CCACUGGGUAAAUAAGUAAAUCAAUAAAUGACGAAGAGAAGACUCAAAAAUGACACGUUAAAUAGCUAUACUCUCCCGCUACCGUUGGUGUCAUAGGAAAUGUUAAUGACGGGAAACGCACGGGAACUGUACUGGAAUAGGAAUAUCUUGGGUUGAGUAUAUCGCUCAGCCAUUGAUAUUGGAGAGAUGGGAAUACAAAUAUUUAAUCCAACAGCUUCUAGUAUCGCUCCCUGAGGAAUUGAUGUGCCGAAUCCGGGAUUCAAGAUUCUAUCACGCUACAGAGUACAAAAUGGGCAUCUUAGAAAUUCCCGGACUCAUUUAUGUGUUAUAGCAAGGUAAUGAAUUGGUCAUUUCAAAUGGAUUGAAGAC
Molecule: small RNA, 369 nt
Filed under: Histoplasma capsulatum var. duboisii H88
Lineage: Eukaryota; Fungi; Ascomycota; Eurotiomycetes; Onygenales; Ajellomycetaceae
Description: Histoplasma capsulatum H88 hypothetical RNA
Source: RNAcentral